CUGAUGCGAAUUUCCUGCGUCAUGCAGUUACCAGUAGGAGUAUUCAUGGUUACGAAACACAUGGUUUCUCUUAAAAAUGAUGCCUUGGUGGUUUGUUUCUGUGCUUUGACGAUUUUAUUCAAAUUGUGAUUUGUUUACUUGUCAUAGUCCAUGCUCCGAGGGAGAGGAGGUUGUUACAAACACACAUUCUAUGGAAUUGAGAGCCAUCGCUGCAUGGAAACCACCCCAAGCUUGGCAUGUGCUAAUAAAUGUGUCUUCUGUUGGCGGCACACACCCACCCCGUGGGCAUGAGUGGCGUAUGGAAGAUGGACCAGCCUGAAAUGAUCUUGAAGGAAGCCAUUGAAAACAUCAGAACAUGAUUAAGCAGUUUAAAG
Molecule: small RNA, 374 nt
Filed under: Pan troglodytes (chimpanzee)
Lineage: Eukaryota; Metazoa; Chordata; Mammalia; Primates; Hominidae
Description: retained intron
Source: RNAcentral